RNAcentral lists this ribosomal RNA (498 nucleotides) under uncultured bacterium. RNAcentral's name for it is "partial 16S ribosomal RNA". It matches the Rfam family "Bacterial small subunit ribosomal RNA", at positions 899 to 1397 of the family's 1533-position model. The record is from RNAcentral.
ACUCAAAGGAAUUGACGGGGGCCCGCACAAGCGGUGGAUGAUGUGGUUUAAUUCGAUGCAACGCGAAAAACCUUACCUACCCUUGACAUGUCCCGAACCCUGCUGAAAGGUGGGGGUGCCCGAAAGGGAACGGGAACACAGGUGCUGCAUGGCUGUCGUCAGCUCGUGUCGUGAGAUGUUGGGUUAAGUCCCGCAACGAGCGCAACCCUUGCCAUUAGUUGCUACAUUUAGUUGGGCACUCUAAUGGGACUGCCGGUGACAAACCGGAGGAAGGUGGGGAUGACGUCAAGUCCUCAUGGCCCUUAUGGGUAGGGCUACACACGUCAUACAAUGGUCGGUACAGAGGGUAGCCAACUCGCGAGAGGGAGCCAAUCUCAGAAAGCCGAUCGUAGUCCGGAUCGCAGUCUGCAACUCGACUGCGUGAAGUCGGAAUCGCUAGUAAUCGCGGAUCAGCAUGUCGCGGUGAAUACGUUCCCGGGCCUUGUACACACCGCCCGU